CUCUUUUUUUGUUGAUCCUUAUUGCAUAACUAAUAAAGUUGAUCGCCAAUAGCACUACAACAAAAAUGGCCUUUAGCGACAAUUAUUUAAUAGCAAUAAGUUAUUAGUUUUCUGAUCUCAAAUAUUAGCGGCAUAUGUAGAUUAGCCAGGAGAAGUUGCAUCUUUACCGGCAAUAAAGAAAACGACCACUAAAGAUUAUACAACUUACCGGGAAGUAAAUUUUAUUAUUUCAUUUUUCCAUCAUUAUUAUCCUCUUCCGUAAAAAAGUGCCAAAGCGAAUUCCAACACCCAAAUCCAAGGAAAAACCCUAAUCAUCCUCAAGGCCCAACUUGUUUCUCUCUCUGAUCUUGCUAUCCUCUCUCGCUAGACCUCUUUUGAAACAGUCAAUUUCUAUUGUCAUAGUUCCAUCAGCCCUCCCCUUCCCGCUCGCACAAUCAUCAUCGAGGUGCAAGAGCCAGAGAUGGUAAAGCUGCCUGUUCAGGAUACUAUAGUCAAGAUUUAAUAACAUAAAUCCCGGAGACUUCACUGUGCAAGUUAAGGUCAUACGGUACAAUGUUCGAUAAUUUGACAUGUCAGAAGAUUUUAUUAUGCUCAAGAGCUGAAGAAACUUUUAUUCAAUGUUCGUUGUAUAGUAUUAUAGUUGUUGAUAACACCAACUAUUAGGUGCAAGAUGACAUUAAUUAUUAGAUUCAAUAUUCUUUUUUGUGUUUUGACAUUUUGAAAUUAUGGAUUAGUAUUUGUAUUUGUUUGUUGUGAAUUCAAGUGUACCAAGCUUUUUAAAUUGAAUAUUAUUAUUAUUUU
Nicotiana attenuata is the source of this 801-nucleotide long non-coding RNA. RefSeq lists it as uncharacterized. NCBI's taxonomy places the organism in Eukaryota, Viridiplantae, Streptophyta, Magnoliopsida, Solanales, Solanaceae. The record is from RefSeq and is a predicted model, not a curated record. The transcript has 3 exons.